AGCCCAGCCCAGCCCCGCCGCGCCCCUUCUCGCGCCCGCCGCCGGGUUCCGGCCCCGCUGGUGCCGCCUUUGAGGGUCGCCGCGGGCGCGGUGCAGCCGGCCUGAGCCCCCUUCCCCGCUGCGAGGCACCGCCUCUGCGCCCCGCAAAGGGGGUCGGCGCCCGGCUGGGGCAGCCCCGUCGCCGUGGAAACGAGGGCUGCGGGGACCGCUACGAGGGGCCAGGCGCCCGGGCCCCGCGCUCAGGGAGUUCCCGCUGCCCCCAACCCACCCAGCCAGCGUUUACUGAGCAUCUGCGAUGUCUCAGGCGCUGUACACACAUCAGCCUGCACCCAGGUCUUCUCGUGGCCUCCGCCCCUCCGCGCCCUCCCCGUGACUGCCUGCAUCCCUGCUUUACAGACGAGGAAGCCAAGUUUCAGGGCAAUGGAAGCCAGAUAUGCGUGCCUCUCACACACAACCUCCCCCUGGCCAAAAUGGCAUUUCCUUGGGAAAGAGGGCAAGG
This is a long non-coding RNA of Bos taurus (domestic cattle), 499 nucleotides long. NCBI's taxonomy places the organism in Eukaryota, Metazoa, Chordata, Mammalia, Artiodactyla, Bovidae. The record is from Ensembl.